GUCUUAUUGUAUAUUUAUAUUAAGUCUUACCUGCUCAAUGAUAUUAAUUAUUAAAUGGCCGCAGUAUUUUGACUGUGCAAAGGUAGCAUAAUCAUUUGUCUUUUAAUUGUAGACUUGUAUGAAUGGUUUGAUGAAAUAUUGACUUUCUUCAUAUAAAAUAUAUUUAAUUUAAUAUUUUAGUUAAAAAGCUAAAAUGAAUUUAUAGGACGAGAAGACCCUAUAGAAUUUUAUACUCAAUCAUUAUAAACAAUUUUGGUUUUUAAUUUAUUUUAUAUUGUAAGGUAUUUUGUUGGGGUGACAGAAAGAUUUAAAUAACUUUUAUUAUUUAUGUUUUAUUUAUUUAUAAUUUAAUGAUCCUUUUUUGUGGAUAAUAAGAUUAAAUUACCUUAGGGAUAACAGCGUAAUUUCAUUGGAGAGUUCUUAUCGAUAGUGGAGUUUGCGACCUCGAUGUUGGAUUAAAGUUAGUUUUUGGUGUAGGUGCUAAAUUACUAGGUCUGUUCGACCUUUAAUAUUUUACA
RNAcentral lists this ribosomal RNA (518 nucleotides) under Elasmucha ferrugata. Its description in RNAcentral is "partial 16S rRNA". It matches the Rfam family "Bacterial large subunit ribosomal RNA", at positions 1829 to 2600 of the family's 2925-position model. The record is from RNAcentral. Lineage: Eukaryota; Metazoa; Arthropoda; Insecta; Hemiptera; Acanthosomatidae.